UAGAACGAUUUAGACGUGCAGUUUUCGGCGUUUGUCCGUCGGCUGUGGGUUGCCACAAAAUAUUCAUGCCAAAAAAGAGUGCAAAACAUAUUCAUUUCUAUAUUCGUUCGUUUGAGACCGAUUGUGUCGAAAAUAAAUGAAAAACAACAACAAUCAUUAAAAAAAAAAAAUGUUAUUUUCGGUGAGAUACUCGUAUGUUGCGCCGAACAUUCUCUGCAUUUAAUCAUAAGUUGUGCGUCGAUCGAAUGAGAAUGUGCGUUGAGCCAAAUAUUUUUCACUCUUCCAACGUAAACACAUUCGGGUUGGAGAAUAAUUGUUAUUUGCUUUGUGGGCUGGCAUUUUUGCAUGAAAUCUAAUGGCAUAGACCUGGAUUGAUGUGAUGUUGUCGUUGUCGUUGAAAGAAAACAACAAAUCGUGCAUCACGAACACUUGGACCAGUGUCUCUUUUUUUAUCGGUUUCUCACAUAAAACCAUAAAUUACGGCAAACGCUCAUUCAAAGCUGUUCGUUUACCGAAACUCUUUUCAUUUUCAUUUUCUUUUCUCUCUCUCUCUUUAUCUCUCUCUGUUUCUCACACACACAUAUGAAAAACAAUUGUGUUCUUUUUAUUUUCAACAGCCGAAUGUGUGAUCAUCAUCAUCACCGCAAUAAUUCGCUUUGAUUUAAAAUCAAGAUUCAACCUCUCCACUCGUGCACUCGCAAUUCAAACGAUGAUGUGUGAAUCGAAUUGAAUGAUGAAAUAAGAGCUAAGGCAUCGAAUCCACUGAGAUAACCAUAAAAGUGACUUUUGCUUUAGAAUUUUCAGAAAUAAUUAUAAAAUUGAUUGUGCCCUUAUUUGGAUGGCGGUUUUUCGUGCAUGCAUAUUCAUGUCAUUCGUUCGUUCGUUCAUUCGGACGUAUACUUUACUCUUUUGUUCUAAAUCAAAUCGAACGAAUUAGACGAACAUAAUCAUAUACCUCUUUGUGUAUAAUUUUGCCAUACUCUUCGUGAAUGAUGACGCUUCCAAAAUGAGUCGUGAUCGUUUAAUAUGUAACUUGUGUAAUGAUGAGCUAGACAGUUAAGGAACAUUUUAUGAGAACUAAGCAGACAGCAGACAUAAUGAUGGUGGACUGGACAAAACGAUUGCUCAGCAGAACUCGAACAACCGAAUCACUGCAACGUUUGACCGGCUUGAUUCAUUCGCGUAAAAUGUUAAACAAUACACCACUUUUAUCGAUGUGCCCGAUAGAACGAGAGAAAGACACAGAGAGAGAGAAAGAGAUGGAGAGAGACACACACACAGAGCAAACUAGUCAGAUCAUGAUGAGUUUUGAGGCAUUGGAUACGUGAAACC
This is a long non-coding RNA of Sitodiplosis mosellana (orange wheat blossom midge), 1332 nucleotides long. RefSeq lists it as uncharacterized. The transcript is spliced from 3 exons. Lineage: Eukaryota; Metazoa; Arthropoda; Insecta; Diptera; Cecidomyiidae. The record is from RefSeq and is a predicted model, not a curated record.